Molecule: microRNA precursor, 115 nt
Filed under: Selaginella moellendorffii
Lineage: Eukaryota; Viridiplantae; Streptophyta; Lycopodiopsida; Selaginellales; Selaginellaceae
Description: miR1106 stem-loop (smo-MIR1106)
Source: miRBase by way of RNAcentral
UUGAUCGAUCCCACAUUAAAACCUUUAAAGGUGAGUAUUUUGCGUGAAAGCUUGGAAAAGAUUGAGGGUCACGAAAUAGUAACCUUUAAAGGUGUUAAUGUGUGACAUAACGAAA